RNAcentral lists this ribosomal RNA (450 nucleotides) under uncultured bacterium. Its description in RNAcentral is "bacterial SSU rRNA". It matches the Rfam family "Bacterial small subunit ribosomal RNA", at positions 355 to 825 of the family's 1533-position model. The record is from RNAcentral.
UCAAGAAACUUCCACAAUGGGCGCAAGCCUGAUGGAGCGACGUCGCGUGAUGGACGAAGUGCUUCGGCACGUAAACAUCUUUUAUGUGGGAUGAAAUUAUUGACAGUACCACAUGAAUAAGGGGCUCCUAACUCUGUGCCAGCAGGAGCGGUAAUACAGAGGCCCCAAGCGUUAUCCGGAAUCACUGGGCGUAAAGGGUGUCGAGGCGGUUGUAUUAGUCGUUCGUAAAAUCUACGAGCUUAACUUGUAGGCGGCGAACGAAACGGUACGACUUGAGGUUUGGAGAGGUGCGUGGAACUCACGGUGUAGGGGUGAAAUCCGUUGAUAUCGUGGGGAACACCAAAGGCGAAGGCAGCGCACUGGCCAAAAUCUGACGCUCACACACGAAAGCUAGGGUAGCGAAGAGGAUUAGAUACCCACGUAGUCCCUGAGCGGGCUGGCAAGGCGCAU